Molecule: ribosomal RNA, 505 nt
Filed under: uncultured bacterium
Lineage: Bacteria
Description: partial 16S ribosomal RNA
Rfam family: Bacterial small subunit ribosomal RNA
Source: RNAcentral
GACGAACGCUGGCGGCGUGCCUAAUACAUGCAAGUAGAACGCACAGUCUAUACUGUAGCUUGCUACACCAUAAACUGUGAGUUGCGAACGGGUGAGUAACGCGUCGGUAACCUGCCUGGUAGCGGGGGAUAACUAUUGGAAACGAUAGCUAAUACCGCAUACUAUUGAUUAUUGCAUGAAAAUUGAUUGAAAGAUGCUAUUGCAUCACUACCAGAUGGACUUGCGUUGUAUUAGCUAGUAGGUGAGGUAACGGCUCACCUAGGCGACGAUACAUAGCCGACAUGCGAGGAUGAUCGGCCACACUGGGACUGAGACACGGCCCAUACUGCUACGGGAGGCAGCAGUAGGGAAUCUUCGGCAAUGGACAAAAGUCUGACCGAGCAAGGCCGCGUGAGUGAAGAAGGUCUUCGGAUCGUAGAGCUCUGUUGUAGGGGAAGAACGGGUGUGAGAGUGGAAAGUUCACACUGUGACGGUAUCGGAUCAGAAAGGAACGGCUAACUACGUG